UAUAUUCUUUGUAGUGACCAUUUGAAUGAUGGUCACUCAAUACUAAAAUGCAAAAGUGAUAGUGGCACAGGAUAUGAAUCAAGGGCACCAUAACUAGUAUUAGAGUGUUAAUGAGAUAUGUUUGAAACAUAUAUGGACUUUUCACAAACUUUGGGAAGAGUGUCAUAGACUCAGUCUAAUAUGCAAGAGAUUGUCAAAUAGGUGGGUGAAGCUUGAAUGAUUUGCAUUAGAUGUUACACUGUUAUCAACUUAGGUAACUGGAAUAGUCAUAGACUAAUAUGCACUCUGCUUUUUAUAUUUCUCUAUAAAUGUUAGUGUUAAUUUUUCAUAAGCACACACUAUGCACAACAAUUAGUGAUUUUACACAUUACACAUCCUCUUUUGAAGUUACAUUAUUAUCAAGGAGAUGAAA
Juglans microcarpa x Juglans regia is the source of this 412-nucleotide long non-coding RNA. RefSeq lists it as uncharacterized. The record is from RefSeq and is a predicted model, not a curated record. The transcript is spliced from 3 exons. NCBI's taxonomy places the organism in Eukaryota, Viridiplantae, Streptophyta, Magnoliopsida, Fagales, Juglandaceae.